This is a long non-coding RNA of Triticum dicoccoides, 6072 nucleotides long. RefSeq lists it as uncharacterized. Lineage: Eukaryota; Viridiplantae; Streptophyta; Magnoliopsida; Poales; Poaceae. The record is from RefSeq and is a predicted model, not a curated record. The transcript is spliced from 6 exons.
UCCCCGCGCUUGCUCCGCUUCCAAUCCUCCCCGCGUUGCUGCUCCAGAGCCCACACCCGCUCCAACCCUAGCCGCCACACCUCUCCUUCCUCCUCGCUUGACACCAUAGGCGCUGCACCCCCUCCCCUCCUUCCUGCUCGGGCGGAUAGCCGCCGGCCGCCGCAUUCCUUCUCCCCCUUCCUCCUCCUUCCUCCUUCCCGCUGGAGCCCCUCGCCCUCUUUCCUCGGACAAGGGGCCUUCCACAGGAAUGGCCACGUCUUCAAACAAGGGGUAGUGGAGCAGGGGAGGACCAAGAAGCCGGCACUAGGGGUGGAGCAGCCAGGCGAAGGAGGACCCAGGUGGUGGAUGUGUCAAGGGGACUUCUCAGAGCCGGCGGGGAGCACGUCACCGUAGGCGUCAAGGGAGCCAUGGAGAAGCCGUCAGGAGGAGAAAGCUCCCAGUUUGUGGAGGAGACUAUGAGGCAUUUUUCCAGGUGGUGUUUUGGAAUCUAGAUUGAUUUGGUAUUGUAUGUUGUGUGAUGUGCCCUUGCCAAGAAUAUUUGAUGUGUGUGAUGACUGAUGACACAAGCAAUUGUAGAGCUGUGAACACCAUGCUUGAUUAGUGGACUGCCGCUUGAGAAGAAGCUUGUCAUUUGUCUCUUCGAGCCGCGGUGGAUAGGGGCCUUCGAAGAACUUGGGGUUUGACAUAGCCAUCGAGGAAGUGCAGGAUACAAACCAAGUGUAAUCAAAGAGGAUAUGAAUUCAGUACGACCAUGAGUGAAGGAACGCUACUCCAAUUUGGCACUUUAGUUUAUUGUUUUCAUUUAGUCUGUAUUAGCUUAACAAAAUAACAUUUGUGGGACAACUAAUAUUUGAACAUGGAUUUUUUCAGGAUCUUGGAGAAUGUUUUCUCAGUGUGGUUCAGGUUAAAUUGUUGUCCUACUGUUCCUGCUCAGCCUCCUAAUGUUCUAUGUCUUCGCUGCGCCUUCUUCCAGCUUCUCUAUUGGUUUUCUCUUCACACCGAUGAAAGUGCAUGUUCCUCCCUUCCUCCAAAUCUUCUCCGGCCAUGGUUGUUUGCAUCUGGUCACAGUUGUUUCAUGUUUCACUUUUGUUGGUGGUUCACGCGUCGGCCUUAGUGCUCUAAGCAAACCAACAUUUCUCAUCUUGGCGAUUGUAUUAUUGGGGCUUUUCUAUAUCUAUAGGUUCGAAUCUCAUGUGGCUCCUGCGCCCAACCACCAUCUCCUCCCUAGCUAAGCAAGAGGUUCAAAGGACACCGCUACAUCUUCCUUGCCGCCCAGCAGGAGGGGCACUAGGUGUGCCUCAUGUUUAGUUAAUGCCCACUGAUUGUGAUGUUCAUUCUAUGGGGAAUUUUGUUUACUUUUUAUAUUUUGUGCAUUUUCUAUUUCAUGUAUUGGUCAGUGGUCCUAAAUCCCAUGUGAUUUCUUCAUUCUUCAGGAAAAGUACAUAUCAGGAGAGCCAUUUAUUAGAGGAUCUUCUUGAUGGUUUUUUACAUUUGGUUCCUGAUGUUCUGCUUCUUGGGGUUUGCUCAUUUCCUUUCUAGCUAGAAAUACCAUAUUUUCCUCUUUGCGUGUACUGACUUGGUGUUUGGUUCGCUGCUUGUCUUAAUAUUCUGGAUUUAGCUGGGCAUCAUGUUUUGUUCAGCCUCAUGCUCCUAAGUGUAUCUCACACUGUAUAGGAACCUGUCAUGCGGGGACCUUGCCUUUUAUGCUUCUUCUUGAUAAUAGAAGUAUUGAAUAUACCUGUUUCUUCUGCUCAAACAUUUUGGCUAAGUGGCGAUAUUCCAAAUAAAUGGAUGUAUCUUGAACAAAGGAGAUGUCUGAUGGUUUCUUAAUUUCGUUGACUAACUAGGGAGUUCAAGGAUGAUGACUGAAAGUUUUGUCAUUACUGGCUAAUACUUGGCGACGAUGUGUCCAUCAGAAAUGAUCCGAUUAUCCUCUGUUGUAUUAUAUUUUCUACUUUUUUUGUAAAUAUGUAUGGAUGUACAUGCACACUCUUUCGAUGUCUGAAAAUGACCGUCAUCCCUCAGUGGGCAAAGAUGAUUUUGUUGAACAGUUUCAGUAUCUGUUACAUAGCGUAUUCUUUCCAAUGUAGAAGGUAGCAGCCGACUCUGCAUUGCUGUGGUGCUUAUAUUAUGGAGUAGUUAAGUUAUUCUCCCUCUGUAAAGAAAUAUAAGAGCGAAACACUCUUAUAUUUCUUUACAGAGGGAGUAUUCCACAAUAUUUAGGAUGUCAACUUUCAGCCAAUUGGUUAGUGGAUGUAAGAGCAUCUCUAGCCGAUCCUUAAAAAUCUUUAGCGGAUAGUCUAGUCGUAUACAAGCUGACUGCUCCUCAGGAAGGCUUGCUAUAGGUUACCAAACACUAGCAGGCGAGGUAUGCACUUGAACUUAUUUGCUCUGAAUUAUGCUAUCUAUUUGAUCUGCUAGCUAUUUUAUUGCUUCAUUUCUCCCUGAUCGCAUUUUUGUAUACAUGCACGCACUCUCAUUUCAAAAAUCAGUGACGGUCUCAUUCCAGCUGCACUGCUACUGCAAUUGAACAGCGAUUUAUACUUAGACCGCUUGCUUGCGCUUGAUGUGUCUGUUUUCUAUUCUAGCAAAUCGUCAUGCCCUAGGCACAGUGCCAAACACGUCUUGUUUGUGGCUGACCCCAAAAGGACUUCUGCACUAGAAGAACAUGUCCUCAAGGCCGUGACAAAGCAGCAGAGGUUAUAUAAUUUACAUAUCUGGAACUGCUUUAGACCAUUGGUGUUAUCAGUACGACGAAUUUCGGUCCUAUAACUGAACUAUUCCUUUUCCCGUUGUAUUUAUAAGUGACAUGUGUGUGGUUUUUUGCAGUACAUAGUAUAUGUAUGCAUUUCUUCAGUGGGGAGAUUAGUGCAUGAUGUCAUAUACACAAUUCAGAAAAUUUGUUUGAUAAUACUUAAGUGUAGGUUAGUCUAUUCUUUCAAGGAGAAAAGAGUAGGUCAAAUUAAUGAAAGACUGAGGUUGUUUGACGGCCGGACCAAGAAGAGCAAGGAGCCAACAAUGGUCAAUUUCUUGCAUCCCAUCCUGGACUCUAAAAGAUUUCAGUUUGCUAUAGGCUAUAGUUUGACUUUUUGCUUCUUGAAGUGAAUGGUAAAGCACCAUGUUGGUUACAUUAGAUUUGUUUGUCAGGCUUGUCUAAAGUCAAUAAUUUCUUGAUCCAUUUUCAAUUUAAGUAAACCAUCCAUAUAAUCAUGAUUUGUUUACCCUAUUCGGUGUUUCUGUUGUGCUUUGUUUUUGUUUGAAGGUUUGGGCUGGAUUGGAUAUCCAAAUGUUUGUGAAUUAUACUUGAUUAAUUGCUUGCUAAAACAAAGAAAGCAUCCAGCAGCACCUCAACCAGGUGUCACAAGAGAACUGAACUAAAUUUCUCAGCUACACAUGUAGUCUUAACAUUGCUAGCUGUUGUCCCUAGAAAUCAUUUAUAGCUGUUGUAUAAGGAUAUUGUAGUUUAUCUUAGUAGGGAAUAGUGUGAUGUUUUCUCUAUUUAAAUUCUAACAUUUUAAACCUCAAACAGAUGGGUUCGUUUGGGAAGGAUCUUGAGCUGUUAGACUCAGCUAGAAUUUUGCCAAUGAGAAUUAGAGACCAGACAACUGCACUUAAGCUUGCUAAGCUACCCAUUUAUUCCUUCUAUUCGUUGAUUAUAGGAACAACACAUGCAUUCAUCAUACAAACCUGCAGCUUAUGUGCGAUAAGAUGGACUCGACAUAAAGAAGUUUCUCUUCGUCUGCUCUGAUUUUUGAGCCAAGACCCUUGGGAGUUUGUCUAGCCUCAUUAUCAAAAGUGUGCAUCAGUUAGUUAUGACCUCAUCUCUUCAGUGAGAUGUUUUCCUCCAUGAAGGAUAUCCCUGACGAUCACAGGGAAUGCUCCAAACAAAAGAAAAUAAUUGUAUCAGCUUGCGAAGCGUAAAUGCUGGACUAUUGUUUCUCCCCUGAUGCACAUGUUUCGCCACAGACAAUAUAGUGUGUGUGUGUGUGUGUGUGUGUGAUCUCCGAAAUUAGUUUUUAGGUUAUUCUAUGUGUUGAGUACUUCUGUAAUUUCCACGGGCGUGUUUCAUAUUUUCUGUGUAUUGUCUAUCAUUCUUUUAAUCGUUUAAUAUUUCUUGUAGUUUUUCAUAUUUAGUUUCAGCCGCGUUUCAUUUCUCGCAGACCUACACCUAUUAGGAAAAGCAUAGUUUCAUUUUGAUCAUGUUUCUUUUAGUUAUUCAGUGUUUGUUCAUUAAUGUAGCAGAGUAAGCAGUACAUUUUGUCCAUUAGUUAAAUCACUCAUGUCACAUUCAGUUGAUUAGGUUCAGUUUUUGUUCCUUUCUUCUUCGUUCCUUCAGUUUUUUGUUCCUUUAUUUAGUCAUUGUGCUUGCACCAUUUGCCGGUAUUUGAUUCAAUAUAACCAUUUAGUCCAUCUCAAUAGACCCUUAUGGUUCUUGAUAGUUUCUCUCUUUCAUAGAUCAGACUUUUCCGCUUUUUCAGUUAGGCUAAUUUAUGCUUUCAAUUUCAGUUUUUAGUCUUCGCUUGAUUUAGUUGGACAGUGUGUUCAGUAUUUCAAUAGUUCAGUUGUUUCAUUGAUUGAUAUGUGCAUUUUCGUACUUAGUGAAGCAUCUUAAUGCAUUUUCAUACUUUGUGAAGCAUCUUAAUUUGAUUGAUAUGUGCAUUCAGUUGAGAACUCACAAGUAGAACAACUGUGCUUCACUUCAUCAGAUGGUAAUUUUUAUCGGUUAUAGACUUAUAGUUACAAUUACUAGAAGUAGCAAAGGUCUGCGUUUGUUUAGACCUUGAGUUGGUAGCUAUGCCUUUUUUGUUUCAGAUCAUAUGUUGGUACUUCAUUUUACUCAGAUCAUAUGAAGGUGAGUGUAAUUGUGUAAUCUGGAUUAGACGCAAUGAAAUUCAGAAGUAGUAGAAGUAUACUAUUUUUUACUUUCUGAUUACUAUAGAAGUACACCGCUGCAUGGUACUCCCUCUGUUCCUAAAUAUAAGUCUUUGUAGACAUAGUAUGUGGUUCAUAGUGAAAUGUCUACAAAGACUUAUAUUUAGGAAUGGAGGGAGUAAAUUAUUGCCAUGGCCUCAAUGGCAGGUUGUACCUGAUAGUGAUAUAUCCUACGAGUACCGGAUGGUCAACAUCCUUACCUGACAGGUAUGGAUUCCACAUAGUAGCCUAGCAGUGCAUGGAAAACUAGGUUCGGUCUGAAGUCUGAACCCCUGAAGAAGCAAAAGCCAAAAACAGAGAUCAGACGACCAAAUACGAGAGUGCAUCUUCUCCUUUUUUGUCUUUUUGUUGAGUGUGCAUCUUCCAACCUGGCUGUAGGCUAUAAUCAACUCAAUUUUGUUUUCUCCAUGUGAUAGCCAGGUAGGUGGCUACGUGGUAAAAUAAGCUCAACUUUCUUUUAAUACAUCUGGAUCAUGUCUUUAGAGUGUAGAGAUGCAACAUCAUAUACAUACAAGGAAUGGUCGACGACCACUUUUACAUUCAUCUUUUUUGUUUGUGAGUUCAGAGCUUCUAUUAUUACAACUGCACGCUCCAGUCAUGCUGAAUACAUGGGAGCAGUACAUUCAGUAGAAGGAGAUACAGAUUUAAGCUAUGCUCGCCAUUCAACUUUUGCCACACUCGUUCAGUAAUCAGUACAACUCAUUCUGCUUCAGGAUGGAAGCUUCGAAUGGCUAGCAGAACCAAGGCUGCCGGGACACCAUCACAUUGAGGUAGUGCCAUGGCCGUAGGUGCUGAUGUCGCAUGGGCAGCACCGCGGCCGCGGGAUCACUGUUGUGUAGUGCCACAGCCUCCGACUCGGUGUUGCGUGGUGGAAGUGCAGUGGUCAAGUUCGACGGCAUUGAAGCGAGGUGUGAGAUCCCAGCCGCUCCAAAUGACGGGUCGUGGCCGUCGGAGGGCCAACAGAGGACAAGGGUUAACAACCGGUGGUGGAGGGCGAGUCUGAGAAAUCAUGAGCUUUUUCCUUCUAUGAAAACUGAUAAAGUUGCAACAUAGUUUGCUCAAAGGUGUGCAUCGGUGCAGAUUGAGCAAGGCACAAUCUGAGAAGAAAAACACAAAAUUAGAAACAGUGUGCAUCAUGUG